CGAGCGCGUCCUGAAAGACGAGGAGUAGAACAGGUACUGCUGCCCUGCCCACUCCCCCACGAACUGACUGAACCGUGUCAUGCACCUUCCUCACACUGUUAAGAUUUAGUGAUCCCACCACCGUGAGGUUGAAUGGAGGAAUGCUCAAUUCAGUGAUACAAUUACUCCCCGAUUCGGAACUGAAGAUACUGAUAUUUCAUUCGUUCAAUCUGCUGAUUUCAUGUUAGAAAAGUGUUUAAUUGGUUGAGGAUAUAUGUGCAUCUGGUCCGCUAUAUGGGGAAAAAGCUCUCUGCUCUAGCCUCUAGCCUUGCCUAAUCCGUGUUUUUUUUCCAAAAUGCAUAAUCUUGUGAUUCUAGUUAGUUUUGUCAGGCAUUGGAUAAUUGUGUUUCUACAGUCCCACCAGCAUCUAAACAGAAUGAGUGUCUUGUCUUGUUUAAAGUGGUAUGGCGCAUCUAAUGUGGUACACUAUCCAAUUUCUCAAUCUUUACCUAUUUCUAAAGCAUGCAACAUUUCCACCAGAAAUUUUGGUUUGGUCUAACAUAAUCACCGACGAGUGGACCCAAAGCGUAUAUAAUGAGAAUCGAACAACAUCGCUAUAUUGUAAUCUAAACGUUCUCGAAUACAACGAGAUCGAGAAAACACAACAAAAUCCGUGUCGAAGAAAACCCAUCGCAGGAAAAGAAAAAAUCUACCGCAACCUGUACGGGGACUUCGAUCGUGGCAACACACGGGCAUAUUUGCUAGUAGUAAAAACUACAAAGUAUAAGACUGUUCUGUCUCAAGUCAAUAGUCUUCAACCAUAAGAGUGUCCUCCUUUUCAGAUACUCAAAUAGAAACAAACAUGACUGCAACCAUAAAGGCCUUUUGUGCAUGCUUUCAACACACACCAUAGCCGCCAUAGUGAAAUCUUAGGAUUUUUAAGUCUUCCAGUCUUUUCUUUAGACUUCCAUUUUUUCACUUUAUGAUAACUAAUAAUCCUGUUAGAUCCAUCUGGUAGUAGCAGGCUAGUAGCUGUUUUCUUUAUCAAUGUUUAUAAGAGUUGUUGUUUGAUGUACUAGUGGUAGCUUAGCAGUUACUGAAUUGGUGUUGCUUGAUGUUAGAUCAACCAGGAGAGCAAACUGCUAAUGUAACCCUGAAGACGAUAAAAAAAUCAAUAUAAUGGAAGCUGGCAAAUGAAGAUUUGGGCAUAAUCCACAGCUCCUAAUAUCUUCAUUCCAUUUAGUGCGUGCUGUUUUUGUCAGUUUGCAUCAAGCUAAUAUACGCCACAUCUAAUUUGAGCUGGAUCUGCAGAAUAUUUUACCGCUACGGACUGGCUAUCUUACUGAAUAUUUUCAAAAUUUAGGAUUUGCUGAUAAGCUUAUAUAAGCUACUUUUUGUUUCUUGGUCAUACAUACAAGCUCUAUGCCCCUAUCUUUUGCUGUCCUGAAGACUAGCAAUUUUUGGCACAAUCUCUAGCAAUUUAGGAUGUGCUUAUUCAGUAUAUGCUGGGUUAAUAUGCUGUCAGUAAAUAGCCGUUAUUUAGGUAGGCUCAUUGCAUAGACAAAUAUGUUGUUGAUCUAAGUGUGAGUGCUUGCUUGUACAAAUAUUCUGGCACAUGACAAGCAAUGGUGAUAUGAUCAAUCACUCAAUCUUGUGGAGGUUCAGUAUAUGAACAGGAUUGGGAAUUGCCAUAGUUAUUUUUGUUUGCUAUAUGGGCUCUUAAGAUUAAACAUCAGCACACACAAUGCAAGUGCAAACAACAUACUUACCAUUUCUGCUAACAAGUGAGGAAUACUUCUUGUGAGGAUAUCCUGCAGACAAUCACAGGGAUAGAGCUACUGUUUUUCAUGGACAACGGAAGUAUUUGUGCGUGUCUUCUUAUAUAUGCUGCAGCCUGAUUGAAAUUCAUUUUCUUGCAGGAAGGUGUUGCAUUUGCGCCAUUUGAGCUGGAUUCAUAUUACUGGGUCCAUCCUAUAGUGUUUCCAUUUCCCGUUAAAACUUUAUGAAGUGAAAUUUUGCUGACUAGACUGAUGGCCCCAUGCCUAGUCAAGUACAAGUGGUCAGGAUAGUGAGCUGAUCAACAUCCAGGAGCAGGAGGUAACAGUAGUAACGCUGUUUACUAUCUCAAUGCUUGGGCCUGUUAAUGUCCUGGAUAAAAGAGAUCCUAUAUUCUUUGUAUUUCAGUCAGUUUAUGCUUGCAACUUAAAAGACUGAACUUGUUGAGUUGAGGCAUUGGGGUCGCGUAGUUUGCAGAAACCCGCUGUUAUCAGCUUUUCCCGAACAAGGUGUGUCGGUCGUAAUAGAUGGCUAGCUUGUUAAGUCUGAGCAGAUUCAGAUUAGCACUUGUAUUUCUUGCUUACUCCAUUGUCUCGGCUCAGCUGGCUCAGCCACCUGAAGUUCUGAACUGGAC
RNAcentral lists this long non-coding RNA (2389 nucleotides) under Panicum hallii. RNAcentral describes it as "long non-coding RNA (PHAL_LNC000750)". Lineage: Eukaryota; Viridiplantae; Streptophyta; Magnoliopsida; Poales; Poaceae. The record is from RNAcentral.